AACGUAGGGGGCGAGCGUUGUCCGGAAUUACUGGGCGUAAAGCGUGCGCAGGCGGCCCGUUAAGACAGGUGUGAAAUCCCUGGGCUCAACCUAGGAAUUGCGCUUGUGACUGGCGGGCUCGAGUACGGUAGAGGGGGGUGGAAUUCCUGGUGUAGCAGUGAAAUGCGUAGAGAUCAGGAGGAACACCGAUGGCGAAGGCAGCCCCCUGGGCCUGUUACUGACGCUGAGAUGCGAAAGCGUGGGGAGCAAACAGG
RNAcentral lists this ribosomal RNA (254 nucleotides) under uncultured microorganism. RNAcentral's name for it is "partial 16S ribosomal RNA". It matches the Rfam family "Bacterial small subunit ribosomal RNA", at positions 524 to 776 of the family's 1533-position model. The record is from RNAcentral.